This 499-nucleotide ribosomal RNA is filed under the name uncultured bacterium. Its description in RNAcentral is "partial 16S ribosomal RNA". It matches the Rfam family "Bacterial small subunit ribosomal RNA", at positions 28 to 507 of the family's 1533-position model. The record is from RNAcentral.
GAUGAACGCUGGCGGCGUACCUAAUACAUGCAAGUCGAGCGAACAGACGAGAGUGCUUGCACUCUCUGACGUUAGCGGCGGACGGGUGAGUAACACGUGGGUAACCUACCUAUAAGACUGGGAUAACUUCGGGAAACCGGAGCUAAUACCGGAUAAUAUUUAGCUUCGCAUGAAGCAAUAGUGAAAGACGGUUCUGCUGUCACUUAUAGAUGGACCCGCGGUGUAUUAGCUAGUUGGUGAGGUAACGGCUCACCAAGGCAACGAUACAUAGCCGACCUGAGAGGGUGAUCGGCCACACUGGGACUGAGGAACGGCCCAGACUCCUACGGGAGGCAACAGUAGGGAAUCUUCCGCAAUGGACGAAAGUCUGACGGAGCAAUGCCGCGUGAGUGAAGAAGGUUUUCGGAUCGUAAAACUCUGUUGUAAGGGAAGAACAAGUACGUUAGUAACUGAACGUACCUUGACGGUACCUUACCAGAAAGCCACGGCUAACUACGUG